GGAAAAGGGCAGGCAGCUUUGCAAUUGGCUCCCUUUAGGACACUGUCUCAUGCUUUUUGCCCACGACAGGGCAAAGAUUCUGCUGAGCUGUAAAGCCAACUGAAAAAAUAAAAUAAAAUCUUUUUCUUCCUUCCUCUACUAGGCUGCUUAUCUCCCCCCGUCCCCCCACCCCAGGGGAAGGGCACUUGAGGGGCAAAUGAUUUUCCCAUUGUUCAUAUUUUUCUGCAUAACUUGAACCUGUGUGUGUGUGUGUGUGUGUGUGUGUGUGUGUGUGUGUUCACGUGAGUGCAUUUUCUUUCUCCAAUUUUUGUGUAUUCUAAAUAACACCAGCUGGCUAGCAAUACCCUCUCAAGGGUUAUGAUGUCAUUCAAAUCUCUCAACUGGAUGAGUGGCCGGCAACAUGGUCCAAGCCAGCUGUUUUGCUAUUAAUAAUGUAUACUUGCCUUCACCAUUGAAAAUCAAGUCCUGAUCUUUUGCCGAUACAGUUUGUACCAGUUUCUCUUUGGUUUUGCGAAGUAGGAGAUAAGAAAGUGGAUUAUGAAAUAAGAUUGCAAAAGCUCAGGGGACCCAGACACACUGAUGCAUCAACUGAAAACAGAGGUCUGCUAGAAACUCUCGUCUGGGCCUUUAUGUUGUCUUGUGGCCAGAAAGCUGUUUGCUGAGCUUUGCAGAUCACACAGUUUGUGGGAAAAAAAAAAAAAAAAAAGCUCUACCUCCCCGCGUGUACUUUGAUGAUGUAGACAGCAUGAAGCUGAAGAACUGCACCCAUCUCGAAGGUGGAAAUAGCUGCCAUGUCCAUGUGUGCAGAGUCGGUCCAGGCUGUCUUGGCACUGAGUGCCUCACUCCAGCCCCCGCACCUUCGCAGGCAGGCACAAGGAAACUGAGAUUCGAAGAAGGAAGUGAAGCCCCUGGUAUCUCAAACACAUAAGGAGGAGGAAGAGGAGACGGCAGAAGGUCAGUUAUUGCAGAGCUGGGCUGUAAGAGUCAGAGGAGCCCAGACGCAUGGCCUGUUUUAUUCUAAUUUGAGCCCUUGACUUCAACACUUCCAUGUUUGCCUGGAAAAAUUCUCAUAAACAGAGGUGGGGAUUUGAUGGCUGUGAAAGUUAGAGGAUAG
Molecule: long non-coding RNA, 1114 nt
Filed under: Sus scrofa (pig)
Lineage: Eukaryota; Metazoa; Chordata; Mammalia; Artiodactyla; Suidae
Description: lncRNA (ENSSSCG00070006554.1)
Source: RNAcentral